RNAcentral lists this long non-coding RNA (1229 nucleotides) under Ananas comosus (pineapple). RNAcentral describes it as "long non-coding RNA (ACOM_LNC030135)". The record is from RNAcentral. Lineage: Eukaryota; Viridiplantae; Streptophyta; Magnoliopsida; Poales; Bromeliaceae.
GAAAAAAUAUACUCUCCCAUGUUAGAAGAUAAAGUAAAUUACAAAUUAUAAUCCAUGUUACUGUUCCCAGCCAUGCUAUGUGUGAACACCCCCUCCAACUUAUCCAAAAGAGUAUGAUAUAGGGGGUGUUUGGCCUAGCUUUUAAAAAGCGCUUUUGGGCUGAAAAGUGAUUUUCGGCUCAAUAGAGCGUUUGGUAACUCACUUUUAAAAUCUGAUUCUGCUUUUUAGAAUCAGAAAACUGAUUUUGAAGACCUCAGAAUCAGAAGCAGAAAAAAGCUGCUUCUUGAAAACUGAUUCUGAUUUUGGAUUUAAACUUCAAAAUUUUAUUUUUAUUUUAGUUUUAAUAAUUAAAUUUAAUUUUAAUUUUCAGAUUCAUUUUAAAAUUUUUAAAUUUUAACUUUUAAAUUUUAAAAUUUGAAAUAUAGAUUUAAAAUUUUAAAUUUUAAUUUUAAAUUUCAAAUCUCAAAUUUUAGAUUUUAAAAUUUAAAAUUUUAUUUCAAAUUUCAAAUUCCAAAUUUCAAAUUUCAGAUUUUAAAAUUUUAAAUUUCAAAUUUCAAAUUUCAGAUUUUAAAAUUUCAAAUUUCAAAUUUCAAAUUUUAAAUUUCAAAUUUCAAAUUUUAAAUUUCAAAUUUGACAAUUUAGAUUUUAAAAUUUAAAUGUAAAAAUUUAAAAUUUUUAAAUUUUAAAUUAUAAAUUUUAAUCUUCAAAUUAUAAAUUUCAAAUUUUUAAAAUUAAAAAUUUAUAAAUUUUAAUCUUCAAAUUAUAAAUUUAAAAUUUUAUAAUUUAAAAUUUAAAAUUUUAAUUUUUAAAUUUUAAAUAUUCAAAUUUUAAAUUUUAAAUUUUAAAUAUUCAAAUUUUAAAUUUUAUAUUUUAAAUAUUCAAAUUUUAUAUUUUAUAUUUUAAAUUUCAUAAUUAUUUUAAAUUUUAAAUUUUAAUUUUAAAAUUUAAAUUUUAAUUUUUAAAUAUAUUUUUAAAAUUAAAUAGCUUUUCAAACAGCUUUUCAAAAUUUUUAAUUUACCAAACAGCUUUUUAAAAUCACUUCAGAAAAAAUCACUUUUAUCUAAACUCCGCCAAACGCUCUAUAGCUUUUAAGCAAAAUCACUUCUCCAAACCAAAAUUACUUUUUCAGAAAUCACUUUUUCAGAAGUUAGGCCAAACAGGCCCAUACUAUGUGCCCCAAAAUUUAAAGAAAAUUAAAAUACUUUGCUUUUUCAGUUUUUUAAUCACAU